This is a non-coding RNA of Manis javanica (Malayan pangolin), 1281 nucleotides long. Lineage: Eukaryota; Metazoa; Chordata; Mammalia; Pholidota; Manidae. The record is from RefSeq and is a predicted model, not a curated record.
GAGGCUUUGCAGCCUUGCUGAUGCUGGGAAGAAGCUGUGAAAAGACAUUUCUCUGUGGGGAAUGCCCUUGGCUCCCACUGCAUACCAUUCACUUCAGGCCUGAGUAGGAGACAGACAUUGACAUCACCCAGUCCUCUGCAGUGUAACCUGCUGGGAGGAUUCCAAGGACCUUCAAGAGAAUGGUUCUGCUGCUCUGACGGAUUCCUGACAGAUACGCUGACCACAAGAGGCAUGAGACCUGAAUAAAUGAGAGGAGGCUUAUUAUGGUUCUUGUGUGUGCUUUUGCAAGGAGUUCUUCAGGCUGUGUUUGAGGAGGCCUCCUCCAGGGCCUCCAUCCAACAGCCAGACAAAUGAACCGUUUUGGAAGCAGAUCCUGUAGCCCCAGACAAGCCUUUAGAAGAAUGCAGCCCUGGCCAACCUGUUGGAUAUAACCUCAUGAGAGACCCCCAGCUGCCAAGCAGACUGGAUAUUUGUGUUCAGGGGCCCUGGAUGGAGGGACCCACUGAAAAGUCCUAGUGUUUUGACUUCCCACCUACAAGACUGCAAUACAGCCAGUUCCUGGUAUCCAUAGGAUUUCUUCAGAGAAGAAGAAAACUGUCAGGUCUCAAAUUUUCAUGCUAGUGUUAUAAUACAGCAAGAUUUCUGUCAUACUGUGUAUCCUGGGUAUCUUGAAUGGACUUCAGUACUUUCGAAUCCCUGCAGCUUGACAUUUCCAUGAAUUAAUUUCUACGUUUAACUAAUCUCAUCCAUUAUGCAUUAACUCUUAUUAAUUUCAUUCUUAGAAAUGGUUACAUUAUAGGUUUUGGGGGAUCUGGGCUUUCCUUCUAAUAUUAGUUACAUAGUUUUGGGCACUCUGUCCACUGCCUCACUGCCUGUAAAUACUAACUGAUAAUUAUCCUUUUAAGCAGUGCUUUUCAGGCCACUGCAUUAGUGUGUCAUAAAAUCAAAUUAGUUUGCUGACUGGUGCUUUAAAAAUUGAAAUAGAAUAGAAAAUAUCAGGAUGCGUGGCACAGACUGGUAAAUAUUGUUUUGCAUGCAUUCUGUGUACUAAGUUGUGAUGUAAAUAAAAUUUUUUUCUGAUUCUGGGUCAAGGUUAAAACAAUUUUAUAAACCAUUCCCUAGAAUCCAGACAUUCAUCCUCUGCCUUUGAGAGAAAAUGUUCUUUGUGAAUGAAAAUGUUAGAGAAUUUAUUUAAAUAAACCCUUUGCUGUGUUAUUGAGGGGACAGUAUAUACUCUGUGUCGGAGGCCUGCAGAAACGUCCUAUAUUGGAAAGUGUGUGA